RNAcentral lists this ribosomal RNA (497 nucleotides) under uncultured bacterium. Its description in RNAcentral is "partial 16S ribosomal RNA". It matches the Rfam family "Bacterial small subunit ribosomal RNA", at positions 28 to 507 of the family's 1533-position model. The record is from RNAcentral.
GACGAACGCUGGCGGCGUGCCUAAUACAUGCAAGUUGAGCGAUGAAGAUUGGUGCUUGCACCAAUUUGAAGAGCAGCGAACGGGUGAGUAACGCGUGGGGAAUCUGCCUUUGAGCGGGGGACAACAUUUGGAAACGAAUGCUAAUACCGCAUAACAACUUUAAACAUAAGUUUUAAGUUUGAAAGAUGCAAUUGCAUCACUCAAAGAUGAUCCCGCGUUGUAUUAGCUAGUUGGUGAGGUAAAGGCUCACCAAGGCGAUGAUACAUAGCCGACCUGAGAGGGUGAUCGGCCACAUUGGGACUGCGACACGGCCCAAACUCCUACGGGAGGCAGCAGUAGGGAAUCUUCGGCAAUGGACGAAAGUCUGACCGAGCAACGCCGCGUGAGUGAAGAAGGUUGUCGGAUCGUAAAACUCUGUUGGUAGAGAAGAACGUUGGUGAGAGUGGAAAGCUCAUCAAGUGACGGUAACUACCCAGAAAGGGACGGCUAACUACGUG